Molecule: ribosomal RNA, 495 nt
Filed under: uncultured bacterium
Lineage: Bacteria
Description: partial 16S ribosomal RNA
Rfam family: Bacterial small subunit ribosomal RNA
Source: RNAcentral
GACGAACGCUGGCGGCGUGCCUAAUACAUGCAAGUAGAACGCUGAAGGAGGAGCUUGCUCUUCUGGAUGAGUUGCGCACGGGUGAGUAACGCGUAGGUAACCUGCCUGGUAGCGGGGGAUAACUAUUGGAAACGAUAGCUAAUACCGCAUAAUAGUAGAUGUUGCAUGACAUUUGCUUAAAAGGUGCAAUUGCAUCACUACCAGAUGGACCUGCGUUGUAUUAGCUAGUUGGUGGGGUAACGGCUCACCAAGGCGACGAUACAUAGCCGACCUGAGAGGGUGAUCGGCCACACUGGGACUGAGACACGGCCCAGACUCCUACUGGAGGCAGCAGUAGGGAAUCUUCGGCCAUGGACGGAAGUCUGACCGAGCAACGCCGCGUGAGUGAAGAAGGUUUUCGGACCGUAAAGCUCUGUUGUAAGAGAAGAACGGGUGUGAGAGUGGAAAGUUCACACUGUGACGGUAUCUUACCAGAAAGGGACGGCUAACUACGUG